This 3735-nucleotide long non-coding RNA is filed under the name Musa acuminata (dwarf banana). RNAcentral describes it as "long non-coding RNA (MACU_LNC001085)". Lineage: Eukaryota; Viridiplantae; Streptophyta; Magnoliopsida; Zingiberales; Musaceae. The record is from RNAcentral.
AUUGAUCGUAUGUACAUUAGCGAGCAGCGAGAUUAAAGGAAAGAGGAAUUAAUAAACAUAAUAAAUAGCAGCAGCGUAACGAAACACGCAAAGGAUGAAUGUGCUGUCAAUAGAGAAAAUUAAGAGAUAUAACUGAUCACGUGCUGUGCACGUGAGAAAACGGCUUCCCGGUUCUAUUUCUCCCCCGGGCGUGCGUGUUUGGUAUGGAGAGAGAGAGAGAGAGAGAGAGAGAUGAUUUGCGCCAGUUUCAAAGCAGGACUAUAUUAUGAUCGCGCUUCCAAGAACUCGGCGAUCGCCUUGAUGCAAAGGCGAUCUGCUCUCCCUCGCUGGCCACCCUUCUCUCCGAGGUAAGGCGACGUCAGGUGAUCUCUCUGAUUCUUUCUCGUGUUCUUGACGACCGAUCUGCCUAUGCGCGGAAGAAGUUGGGGGGUUAUUGAUGAAUCUGGACGACGAGGCGAUUCAAUCUCAAGAUCUGAAAGGUCAUUUCCUUGUGGUAUUCUUUGUUCUUUUUUAUGAACUCCAACUUGCCUUCGCAUGUAAGAAUUUCGUGUAUCCUCGGUGUGUCUGAUCGACGAGGGGAUCUCAGAAACAUAUGGUCAUUCAAAUUAAACCCCUUAUGUCGCUUGAGUUUGGGGGUUUCGUUUAGGGUUUCAAUGUCGGCGUUCCCUUUUCUUUCUUUUUUCGUUUCUUGUUUUCUGUCCAUCUCACCUCUUCUUGCAGAAAUGGGUUGAGGUGAUCGAACAGUGUGUAGACGGGGGCUAAGUCUUCAGUUCUUUCGAUUCAUUGUUUUAGAUUGGAUUUCUUUAAUGGGAUUUCUUGAAUUCGGUUGAGUUUCUUUUCCGUAGAAUGCAGCUGAGGACAUGAUCGGUUCAAUAUAUAGGGGGAUCUAUUGGUAGGGUUUGGUAGAUGCAUCAGAAGGCCAAAUAGGAAAUCACCUUUUGCAUCGGACGACUUUUCUUGUCUUUGCAAGUACCGGGAUAGGUGAUCAAAGAGAGUUCAUACCAUUUGUCUUCCCUCGGUAACGAAGGUCGAGGACAUUUUGGUGUUGCAGAGUCGUUCUUGAAUAUAAUUCUCCUGUUGUGGUGUUACUCAAGCAAUCUCUGAUCUUCUUUAGGAUCUUGGAUAUGAGUAUCACCGAAUUUUUAGUUGUUCAUAUGGAUGGAUUUAUUUUUAAUCCGUUUUCAUAUCUUCUCCCUUGAUUCAUAGUGUUCUUCUUGGAAACCACUAUCAACACACAUGUUACACAGUACAUCAUUGUUCUUAAUGAGCUUCUUUCACAGUAUAUAUGUCACCUCCCUAGUUUAAAUGUAAGUUUCAUGCUGUCAAUGUUGAUUUAGUAGCCUCAUUAAAAUUUUCAGGUAUGGUUAAACUGAAAUGAGUUGCAACUUGCAAGCUCAUGGUUUGUUAAUAUCAUCCGGCAGUAAAGUCGACAAGUUAAUAUUUACAAGUAGAGGAUGGGGGGGAAUCGAGUUUCAUUAAUCAGUUGAUAGUUAUUUGUAAUGGUCAGUCCAAAAACUCUUCGAUUGAGUUGCAUAAGGGAUUGGUUGAAUGAAUUAAACUGAUUUUAUUUAUAAUGUUUCAUGACGCAUAUACCAUCUCGAAUUGGUUGGAUAAAAAUAAUGGCAAGACUCGGAGAAACUUUUGAGCAAUCUGUGUUAAGUGUUUAUUCUACAUAAAUAUUUUUAUGGUAGGAAUACCACACUGUUCUUGGACAUGAACUAAAAAAUGUUUAUUCUACAUAAACAUUUUUAGAUGCAUUAACAAAGAUGAUAAUUGCAACCACUACAUAGUUUCUAAGAGUAUUAGUGUAUCUAUUAUCUCUCCUUUGGUUGCAUACGGCCUGCUAUUCUUUCCUUGUAGCUUGUAUGUCUGUGUGAAAUGUUUAUUCUACAUAAAUAUUUUUAUGGGGUAGGAAUACCACCCUAUUCUUGGACAUGAACUAAAAAAUGUUUCAGCUGACAACAUCUCUCUAAGAUAUUCAAAAGUGUUUUUGGAGUUAAUGUCAGAUCAGGGAAAGAUGGUUAUAAUCUAGUGGAUUUACUGGUGUAGGGAAGUGAAAUACUUUCUUCCAAUGAACUUAACGAAGCAUGAUGAAUGUGGUUAUGGAUGAUUUGUUUGAUAUAAGUCGAGAUGAAAUUUAAUAGAUAGCAUGUCCAUUUUGUAAUCAGGUGUCUAUUUACCAUGUGUAGAGGGUCUUUGCAAGUGCAAAGGGAUAGUAUAAAACAAGCUCAUCAACUGUUGGGUUCAAAAUAUUAUUGUGAUGUCGUUGAUGCUUAAUUCUUAGGUGUCGAUCAACAAUCUUGAUGGACUGUUCAUGCAUGUCAAUUGUUCCACUCGGAAAUUUAAUUAGUUGAUAAUCAAGAGAGAAUUUUUUUCAUUGCAUGUAAAAUUUCGUUUGUCCUGUACCAAAUAUCUAAUCUCUGCCUACUUAAUUCUGGCCAAAGUCGAAUCUUGAACAUGUGUACAAAUGUUUUAAGAAUAGAGAUAAUAUUGUCACACUCGAUAACAGUGAAGUCAACUUGUUCUACAUUGACAGAAAGGCUUGUUGAAUCGUAUACCAUGGAUGCACGAUAUACUACUGCUAUAUGACAUUUGGAAACUGACAUUAUGGUUAAUACAUAGAUGCAUUAACAAAGAUGAUAAUUGCACCCACUACAUAGAUCCUUAAUUUUUUUUUUUCGUUUUUUUUCGUGCAUUAACAAAGAUGCAUUAACAAAGAUGAUAAUUGCACCCACUACAUAGAUGCAUUAUGGAGAAGGGUUCCUUUUUUUUGUUGAUUGGAGAUGAGAUCUAAUUGGGACAAUAAUCCGGAUUUUUUUUAAUAACUAAAAAUGUUUUAGCUGUGAAGGAAUCUGUUCUAGGCACCAAUUUGAAAAUGUUUAAAAUAAAAAAAAAACAAACAAACAAACUACGGCUAGCUUCUCUUUAGAAAAUCCUGACUUACAGAACUGGUAAGAUUUUUAUGAGCUUGAAAUCAUAAUUCCAAGGGACUCGGUGAUAACAAAUAAUUUUGUGUUGUGAUCCUGUUUUCAUUUUUACAUUUUCAGAAUCAGUGGAAAUAUUGGGUUUGUCAGGCAAUCAAUCAGUGGCUUCCACAUCUACAUGAAUUUCUUUCUGACUAGCUUCUAUUUGCACCUCAACAAAAAAGCACACACAUGUAAAUAAUUUUAAUAACCCAAAAACUUUCACUUGGCAUCGAGUAGAACUAAAAAUACAACCGCAAUGGAGACGACAAAUAUCAGUCAGCGGUCGAAAAGACAAUCACAUCGAGUAGAAAUAUCAGCCCCCCGCAUUAACUAACUCUUCAUCUUUCGGAUGGAAGUGAGGGACUUGAGAAGGGCUGGAGAGGGCCUCCUCAGCGUGUGCGUCAGGAUGAUCAUAAGCGUCAACAGGGUGAGUGCCCCUGCUUGGUGUGCUGAUGCCAGAGACACUGGAACAUACGUGAGAAGCGUCGUGAUCCCCACCGUUACCUGUUCAUUUUACGUUGUAAUUUUAUUAUACAAGUAACACUUGUUACUAUUUUAUGAUGUGGAGAAACGAACUCACAUUAAAAAAUUAAGUGCUUUAAUUUUUUAAUGUGAGUAGAUUGGAAAAACUACAGUUAUGAAAAAUAUAAUAGAUGUUUACCUGAAGUGCUGCCAUCCCCAAGGUACUUCCAAUUAAAGAUUGCACAGCUGGAUGAAUGUUCACUUUUCUUGCAGCAAACCACAAUCCACCAAUUGAUGCAAGUGUUGC